CUCAGGCGAUCUGCCCACCUUGGCCUCUCAAAGUGCUGGGAUUACAUGUGUGAGCCCCUGCACCUGGCCUACCCAUUCUGUCUUAAGCCAGAUGGACUUUGGAGGGGCAGGUGGUGGGGACCCAGGCUGUGAUUCUCACUAUAGGGCACUGUUUACUCUCAGGAAUUUCUUCUUCUUACGGUUGAUAUAAAGCAAAACUCUACAGGUGACUUGAUUUUUAAACCCAAAUUUUAGUGCUUUGGGAAAAAAAUAGCAUUUUGGGUUUGGUGCUCCGUUUAGAGCUCUUUCUUGUGGUCAUGAAUGGAGUGGGAACAGAAGACACUGAUACUAUAAGUUGGCUAGCAUGUAUUCUCUGAGGGUUUACUGAGUGCAAGGCACUGAGGGUACAGAGACGAAUCUGAUGUGAUUGUUGCCCUCAGAGCCUCACAGCCUAGUAGGGUAAAUGCUUAGAGAUGGGCCACCAUACCC
Long non-coding RNA from Sapajus apella (tufted capuchin), 468 nucleotides. RefSeq lists it as uncharacterized. Lineage: Eukaryota; Metazoa; Chordata; Mammalia; Primates; Cebidae. The record is from RefSeq and is a predicted model, not a curated record. The transcript is spliced from 3 exons.